CAAGAUUGAGAUGAGUGGAUCAAGAUGUAUCUUUCGUGCAGAUGUAUCAAGAUCCUUUCACUUAAGAUCCAUGCAGGCGCAAGCUUUGGAUGAACUUCUGCUUCUGCAGUCGGCAUUCUUACGGGAGAACCCAAGAUUCACUGUACCUACCUAUAUGCAUUUCAAAACUGAAUAAUUGAUAGCAACAAGCAAAUAUUUGAAGUUGCAGCCAAAUGCUGUGCCUUCUCUGCUGCAAGAGCUACAUGUCACCAUUGAAGCAAGGACCAGCUCGACUCCGGCAGUAGGAGUCCAGCCUCGUCCAGU
RNAcentral lists this long non-coding RNA (303 nucleotides) under Amphibalanus amphitrite. Its description in RNAcentral is "uncharacterized LOC122389552". Lineage: Eukaryota; Metazoa; Arthropoda; Thecostraca; Balanomorpha; Balanidae. The record is from RNAcentral.